Molecule: ribosomal RNA, 253 nt
Filed under: uncultured bacterium
Lineage: Bacteria
Description: partial 16S ribosomal RNA
Rfam family: Bacterial small subunit ribosomal RNA
Source: RNAcentral
UACGAAGGGGGCUAGCGUUGCUCGGAAUCACUGGGCGUAAAGCGCAGGUAGGCGGUUGGAUAAGUCUCUUGUGAAAGCUCCCGGCUUAACUGGGAGAGGUCAAGGGAAACUAUCCGGCUAGAGUGUGGUAGAGGAAGAUGGAAUUCCCGGUGUAGCGGUGAAAUGCGUAGAUAUCGGGAGGAAUACCUAUGGCGAAAGCAGUCUUCUGGACCAUCACUGACGCUGAUCUGCGAAAGCUAGGGGAGCAAACAGG